This 497-nucleotide ribosomal RNA is filed under the name uncultured bacterium. RNAcentral's name for it is "partial 16S ribosomal RNA". It matches the Rfam family "Bacterial small subunit ribosomal RNA", at positions 28 to 507 of the family's 1533-position model. The record is from RNAcentral.
GAUGAACGCGGGCGGCGUGCCUAACACAUGCAAGUUGAGUGUACGGACGUGAAGUUCGCAUCCGUGAUGUUACCGGCGGACGGGGGGGUAACAUGUCGAUAACCUACCCACAAGACUGGCAUCACUUCGGGAAACCGGAGCUAAUACCGGGGCAUAUCCUGAACCGCAUCGGUGAAAAGUGAAAGACGGUCCUGCAGUGACGUAUAGAUGGAUCCGCGCCGCUUUAGCUAGUUGGUAAGGUAACGGCUUACCAAGGCAACGAUGCAUAGCCGACCUGAGAGGGUGGUCGCCCACACUGGAACUGAGACACGGUCCAGACUCCUACGGGAGGCAGCAGUAGGGAAUCUUCCGCAAUGGGCGAAAGCCUGACGGAGCAACGCCGCGGGAGUGAUGAAGGUCGUCGGAUCGUAAAACUCUGUUAUUAGGGAAGAACAUAUGUGUAAGUAACUGUGCACAUCUUGACGGUACCUAAUCAGAAAGCCACGGCUAACUACGUG